CCCUUAGAUGUUCUGGGCCGCACGCGCGCUACACUGACACGUUCAUCAAGUCUAUAACCUUGACCGAGAGGUCUGGGUAAUCUUUUAAAAACGUGUCGUGCUGGGGAUAGAUUAUUGCAAUUAUUAAUCUUCAACGAGGAAUUCCUAGUAAACGCAGAUCAUCAAUCUGCAUUGAUUACGUCCCUGCCCUUUGUACACACCGCCCGUCGCACCUACCGAUUGGAUGGUCCGGUGAAGCCUCGGGAUUGUGGUUCUUGCCGCUUUAUUGUGGCGUGACCGCGAGAACUUGUCUAAACCUUAUCAUCUAGAGGAAGGUGAAGUCGUAACA
This 328-nucleotide ribosomal RNA is filed under the name uncultured eukaryote. RNAcentral's name for it is "partial 18S ribosomal RNA". It matches the Rfam family "Eukaryotic small subunit ribosomal RNA", at positions 1470 to 1796 of the family's 1831-position model. The record is from RNAcentral.